AGACCAUCUCCAAGGAGA
Molecule: small nuclear RNA, 18 nt
Filed under: Arabidopsis thaliana (thale cress)
Lineage: Eukaryota; Viridiplantae; Streptophyta; Magnoliopsida; Brassicales; Brassicaceae
Description: snRNA_02845
Source: RNAcentral